RNAcentral lists this ribosomal RNA (417 nucleotides) under uncultured bacterium. RNAcentral's name for it is "bacterial SSU rRNA". It matches the Rfam family "Bacterial small subunit ribosomal RNA", at positions 359 to 775 of the family's 1533-position model. The record is from RNAcentral.
GAAUAUUGCACAAUGGGGGAAACCCUGAUGCAGCGAUGCCGCGUGCGGGAUGAAGGGGCUUUGCCUUGUAAACCGCUGUCGGAUGGGACGAAAGGGACCUUAGGGGUCCUGGGACUGUACCAUAAGAGGAAGGGACGGCUAACUACGUGCCAGCAGCCGCGGUAAUACGUAGGUCCCGAGCGUUGUCCGGAAUUACUGGGUGUAAAGGGUGCGCAGGCGGUCUUGUGCGUCAGAAGUGAAAUAUCACGGCUUAACCGUGAGGGUGCUUUUGAAACGGCGAGACUUGAGUACGGGAGAGGAUGAUGGAAUUCCUGGUGUAGCAGUGAAAUGCGUAGAUAUCAGGAGGAACACCGGUGGCGAAGGCGGUCAUCUGGCCCGGUACUGACGCUCAGGCACGAAAGUGUGGGUAGCAAACAG